Chroicocephalus ridibundus (black-headed gull) is the source of this 1738-nucleotide long non-coding RNA. RefSeq lists it as uncharacterized. The record is from RefSeq and is a predicted model, not a curated record. Lineage: Eukaryota; Metazoa; Chordata; Aves; Charadriiformes; Laridae. The transcript is spliced from 3 exons.
UUGCUGAAUGACAUUGUGGGAUGUCAGCUGGUUUUGUCUUCAGUGUUAGCCCCCUCGGUGAUGAGCCAGGGCAAUCAGAAGCCUGUUUGAACAGAGGAAAAGAAGAAUAUCAAAAGGCAGAUUGGAAUUGGUGUUCAAAUGAAUAGUGUGAAAUCUCAAAGUGAGAUUACCAGGGUAAUGAUGACACAGUCAUCUCAAAAAGAAGGCUGUUAUUUUAAGAAAUGGAUUUUCACCAAAGAAGAGAAAAGAGAAUAAAGAGAUCAGCACCACUGAAACUGUGACUGUCAGAUGAAAGGUUUUGGUGGAAAAUUGGAGGCUACUUUUGAAUAUUCAGUGGUGAGUGAACCCCCAUGAGUUCUUCAAAUUCCGUGAGAGAGCUGGGCAUUGACUAUACCUGCCACUGCCUGCUGCAUGGGAAUAUGUUUGCUUUUACUGAAAGAAAAGAAGACCAACAUUUUUGCUCCUUUUGAAGUUGCCCUCAGAGCAAAAUGCCACCUCCCACUUCACAAGCAGAACAUCCGAAAAGCAUCCCCCAUUGAUGUUAGUGAGGAAAGCACAUGCUGGUGACUAGAUGAGCUGUCUCAGACUGACACUUGUUUCUGCCUGCGAUUUAUUCCCUGUUUAUCCAGAGAGAUAUUCCAUAUCAGCAUUGAUGCCUCUUGUGUCUCACAUGGUACCUUCCUGCCCCACAACAAAGACAUCUCCACUGUAGCACACCAUUCCUGACAGGUGACACACCUGCCCAAAGAACGUGACCCAUCAUACUGCUGAGUGUCUGUGCAGAUUCCAAGGCUAGAAAAAAUAUGGGUAAGAACCUAAUUUAUUCUAAAGAAGGAAAUUCAUAUGUCUCGCCUGCUGCAAGUCUCUCUACCUCUUCAUGCCUCAGAUGUUGUUUGUCCUCUCUCCCCUGCAUACAUCCUACCCACAUCCUACUUUCCAGAGCAACACGGCAUAUUGCAAACAAAGCACAGGACCGGCAGGCUUAUUUCUGUGCAGCAGCGAAAGAGCUGAAUGUCUGCCCUUGCCUUCUCUGCAAGAAGAAAACACUUUCUGUGGAAAUCCCCCAGCCCUCAUAGACUAUCUUGUGUUGCAUUUGGUAGAUGAGAAGGAGGUUGUAGAUGUGUAACUCUAAAGAAAGGUAAACGAAAGGACGCUAGUUACAAAACCAUAAUGACUUCACUAUUUUAAUUGCAAACAUCUUGAUGAGGCGCUGACAGAAUUCAGGAAUCGGUUCUUCACCGCGUUUGCCAGCAGACUGUGUUGAACCCCGGCUAACUGCACGGGAAUGUGUGUGGUUUGGGCUUUUUUCUAUCGGAAGCGUGCAGCUGUGUGUCCCCUGACCUGCUGCAGGAGCGUGGCGGUUGCCAGGCCGUGGGCUGAGCAGUGCAGGGAACGGCACAGCUCAGCGUGAUGCGAGCUCGAGAAAGUGCUAAGUCUGCGUGCAUUUCUGCAGUCGAUGACUCUCACUUAUACAAAUAGAUGGAAUGUUUUGAACUUGUAGUCAUGAUCUCUCCAUUUUCAUUAUCUUGUUGCUGCCUGUGGAUUAUUGCUGCGGAUAUGUGUCUUUUGUAUCUUUGCCUAGUAGCAUGCCAGCAAGCACAUGGAUCUCAGCAAAUACAGAUGAAAAGAAGGUGUUGCAAAAAAUUAAAGCCUUCAUUUAUUACUGCUAUUGACAGUUUUUUUCAAUGUACAAAGUUAUUGUGCAAAAUCUGCAUUCUGAAAAACACUGCCAAGGAAG